Molecule: long non-coding RNA, 254 nt
Organism: Onychomys torridus (southern grasshopper mouse)
Lineage: Eukaryota; Metazoa; Chordata; Mammalia; Rodentia; Cricetidae
Exons: 3
Source: RefSeq, a predicted model, not a curated record
CUGAGGGAGAGGAGGGAAGGAGCAGAUGGCAGGUGGUGGAAGAGGCGAGGAGCAGCAUGGGACAGAUGAACUGAGAAAAGAGGAAGAGAAGGGGUAAAGAGUGGUGAAAAGGAAUUAGCGAGAGUGACGGAUUUGCAUCCCUGUCAACAAGUCACUCCAGUCCUGGACCAGCCUUACCACAUCCACACAGUCCUGUUGCCACAAGGGAGACAGCUCCUGGCUGGAUUUAUUAUGUAUACACUGUUCUGGCUGCA